Molecule: ribosomal RNA, 253 nt
Filed under: uncultured bacterium
Lineage: Bacteria
Description: partial 16S ribosomal RNA
Rfam family: Bacterial small subunit ribosomal RNA
Source: RNAcentral
UACAGAGGGUGCAAGCGUUAAUCGGAAUUACUGGGCGUAAAGGGUGCGUAGGUGGUUGAAUAAGUUAGGUGUGAAAGUCCUGGGCUUAACCUGGGGAUUGCGCCUAAUACUGUUUAGCUAGAGUACUGUAGAGGAAGGUGGAAUUUCCAGUGUAGCGGUGAAAUGCGUAGAUAUUGGAAGGAACAUCAGUGGCGAAGGCGACUUUCUGGACAGAUACUGACACUGAGGCACGAAAGCGUGGGUAGCAAACAGG